RNAcentral lists this ribosomal RNA (471 nucleotides) under uncultured soil bacterium. Its description in RNAcentral is "bacterial SSU rRNA". It matches the Rfam family "Bacterial small subunit ribosomal RNA", at positions 27 to 518 of the family's 1533-position model. The record is from RNAcentral.
GGGACGAACGCUGGCGGCGUGCUUAACACAUGCAAGUCGAGCGGUAAGGCCUUUCGGGGUACACGAGCGGCGAACGGGUGAGUAACACGUGGGUGAUCUGCCCUGCACUCUGGGAUAAGCCUGGGAAACUGGGUCUAAUACCGGAUAUGACCUGCUCUCGCAUGGGGGUGGGUGGAAAGAUUUAUCGGUGCAGGAUGGGCCCGCGGCCUAUCAGCUUGUUGGUGGGGUAAUGGCCUACCAAGGCGACGACGGGUAGCCGACCUGAGAGGGUGACCGGCCACACUGGGACUGAGACACGGCCCAGACUCCUACGGGAGGCAGCAGUGGGGAAUAUUGCACAAUGGGCGAAAGCCUGAUGCAGCGACGCCGCGUGAGGAUGAAGGCCUUCGGGUUGUAAACCUCUUUCAGCAAGGACGAAGCGCAAGUGACGUACCUGCAGAAGAGCACCGCUAACACGUGCCAGCAGCCGAC